GGGGCCCGCACAAGCAGUGGAGUAUGUGGUUAAUUCGAAGCAACGCGAAGAACCUUACCAGGGCUUGACAUCCCUUGAAGCAGCUAGAGAUAGCUGUGUCCUUCGGGACAAGGAGACAGGUGGUGCAUGGUUGUCGUCAGCUCGUGUCGUGAGAUGUUGGGUUAAGUCCCGCAACGAGCGCAACCCCUGUGGUUAGUUGCCAGCAAGUAGCGUUGGGCACUCUAGCCAGACUGCCGGUGAUAAAUCGGAGGAAGGUGGGGACGACGUCAAAUCAUCAUGCCCUUUAUGUCCUGGGCUACACACGUACUACAAUGGCCGUUACAACGGGAAGCGAAGGAGCAAUCCGGAGCAAAUCCCUUAAAGGCGGUCCCAGUUCAGAUUGUGGGCUGAAACUCGCCCACAUGAAGGCGGAAUUGCUAGUAAUUGCAGAUCAGCAUGCUGCAGUGAAUACGUUCCCGGGCCUU
RNAcentral lists this ribosomal RNA (464 nucleotides) under uncultured Oscillospiraceae bacterium. RNAcentral's name for it is "bacterial SSU rRNA". It matches the Rfam family "Bacterial small subunit ribosomal RNA", at positions 916 to 1382 of the family's 1533-position model. The record is from RNAcentral. Lineage: Bacteria; Bacillati; Bacillota; Clostridia; Eubacteriales; Oscillospiraceae.